This is a long non-coding RNA of Eubalaena glacialis (North Atlantic right whale), 521 nucleotides long. RefSeq lists it as uncharacterized. The record is from RefSeq and is a predicted model, not a curated record. Lineage: Eukaryota; Metazoa; Chordata; Mammalia; Artiodactyla; Balaenidae. The transcript is spliced from 4 exons.
CUCGGGGUCGUCCUCAGAGAAACGAUCGAAGUACUGCUGCCCCUGCGCGGACGGCGGGGAGGCGGCCUCGGGGACAGUCUCUUCACUCAUUGUCCUGGUACAAAAGGCUGUAUCCAGUCAUCACCAUGCUUGUGCCCUGGGAAGGGCUUCUGGCGAUUCUUGGCAGUCAAGCUUGGAACUCAAGAGAAAGGGGCCACUAGGCCCUCACUUGUGAAGAACAUUCCUGUGCUCAGGUUUGAUGACCUGAUUGCCUUAUCACGUGGGUCCUUUCCUCCUCCUCACUCAUCCACAGAGAAGGUAUUCGGUUGACCAAAAAGCUCCUUCGGGUUUUUCUGUAACAUCUGAUGGAACAUGAAUUGUUGGGAGAUUGGAAACGGAGUAGCUGGUCUGCAAACUUUCAAGAGGAAGAACACCACCUACGAAGCAUGGCAGAGCAGAGAGACAGAAGGAGCCUGGCAUGUUGAUGACAUCGUGAGCCACUGAGCCAACCCUGGGUUGCCGAACUCUGAACUUUCUAAGUG